UGAAAGCAAAUCUGAGGUGGGACAUUUACAUUAGUGUAAGAGUACAGUUCUCCACAAAAGAGAAGACUGUAUUUGUGUUCUUCAUUGGAAACUUGGCAUCCACAGGGGGACAAGCAAAGUCAUCAAAAGGAAUACGGAUAUAUAUAUAGUACAUCGGCUAUGCCUACCACUGAAAGCUCAGGAUCCUCUGCAUGCCCAGUCCCAAAUGAAGCAGUUAGAUCUGUGGCUGCCUUGCCUAACACAGACUUGAGUCAGGCUGCACAUCACUGGUGGCUCAGAGGCCUCCAGGAGGAGGCUGAGCUCUCAAGAAUGCAAAGUACCUUCAGAUCUACUCGUCUGCAAUCUUAAUAGAGAUGAACACUUAUUUCUGAACUGUAGGCCAUUACCUAUUUGUACCAAAACAAUGCCUAUUCUUAACUUCUAAAAGAAAACAGAUGUCAGAGCAGGAUUGGUUUUGUUUUCAAAGUGUAACAGGGUAAGCUCUGUUCUCCUAAGAUCUGAAUCCAAGUUUUCAUAAAUGUAAAUACUGACAAUUAAACCUGUAAUACCAAAAUAAACCAGAGUUCAAAUAUGUUAAUUUUCCA
Molecule: long non-coding RNA, 584 nt
Filed under: Manacus vitellinus (golden-collared manakin)
Lineage: Eukaryota; Metazoa; Chordata; Aves; Passeriformes; Pipridae
Description: lncRNA (ENSMVIG00005016413.1)
Source: RNAcentral